Molecule: small RNA, 125 nt
Filed under: Marmota monax (woodchuck)
Lineage: Eukaryota; Metazoa; Chordata; Mammalia; Rodentia; Sciuridae
Source: RNAcentral
GCCAGGCAUGGUGGCACACACCUGUAAUCCUAGCAGCUUGGGAGGCUGAGACAGGAAGAUCACUAGUUCAAAGCUAGCCUCAGCAAAAGCAAGGCGCUAAGCAACUCAGUGAGACCCUGUCUCUA